This 253-nucleotide ribosomal RNA is filed under the name uncultured bacterium. RNAcentral's name for it is "partial 16S ribosomal RNA". It matches the Rfam family "Bacterial small subunit ribosomal RNA", at positions 524 to 776 of the family's 1533-position model. The record is from RNAcentral.
UACGUAGGGCGCAAGCGUUGUCCGGAAUUAUUGGGCGUAAAGAGCUCGUAGGCGGUUUGUCGCGUCUGCUGUGAAAACUCGAGGCUCGACCUCGGGCUUGCAGUGGGUACGGGCAGACUAGAGUGCGGUAGGGGAGACUGGAAUUCCUGGUGUAGCGGUGAAAUGCGCAGAUAUCAGGAGGAACACCGGUGGCGAAGGCGGGUCUCUGGGCCGAUACUGACGCUGAGGAGCGAAAGCGUGGGGAGCGAACAGG